Non-coding RNA from Candidatus Staskawiczbacteria bacterium, 4049 nucleotides. The record is from Rfam. Lineage: Bacteria; Candidatus Staskawicziibacteriota.
CAGCAGGUCAGGUUAUAAGCGAAUGGCGGAUGCCUUGGGAUAUUGAUGCGAUGAAGGACGUGGCGUGCCUGCGAUAAGCAUCGGGGAGGUGGCUAGCAACCUUUGAUCCGGUGAUUUCCGAAUGAGGAAACUCAAUAUGAUUAAUCUCAUAUUAUCUGUCCAGCUUUUUGUACUUUAAAAAUUUAAAGUUUAAAAAGUUGGACAGAAGCGUACCCGGCGAAGUGAAACAUCUCAGUAGCCGGAGGAAAAGAGAACAAAGUUAUCCCCUUAGUAGUGGCGAGCGAACAGGGGGAAGCCUAAACAGAAUCUUUAGAUUCUGGGUUGUAAGGUUGUAGCGUCAGGAGCACUACCUUUUGCUUCGCAAAAGGAAUUAAAAAUUUAAAAUUUUAAAUUUAAAAUUUUUCGCGCGGAGCGCGAGGUAAUGCUUGCUGAGAGAGAAUACAAAAUAAUAGUGUUAAAAGAAGCACCCUGGAAAGGGGCGCCAUAGAGGGUAAUAGCCCCGUAUUCUAAAAUACUUAUUAUGCUCUUUGCUAUGAUUCUUGAGUACUGUCGGGAAUGAUAACCUGGCAGGAAGCAGGCCGAACUAUCGGCCAAGGCUAAAUAAUCAAUAUCACCGAUAGUGAACCAGUACCGUGAGGGAAAGGUGAAAAGUAGGGGGGUGACCCCGGUGAAAUAGUACCUGAAACCAUUUGCUUACAAAGAGUCGGAGCCCCGCCUUUGGCGGGGUGACGGCGUGCUUUUUGCAGAACGAGCCAACGAGUCUGGAUAUAUAAUUGUCUAAGCCCUUUUGGGGCGGAGGCAUAGCGAAAGCGAGUGUUAAAAGCGCGAAUUAUAAUUGUAUAUUCAGGACCCGAAGCGUGACGAGCUUGCCAUGAGCAGGAUGAAUCCCGCCGAAAGGCGGGAGGAGGUCCGAACUAGUGAGGCGUGCAAUCCUCUUGGAUGAUUUGUGGCAAGGAGUGAAAAGCUAAUCGAGUUACGUAAUAGCUGGUUCUUCCCGAAACAGCUUUAGGGCUGGCGUCUAUUAACAGCACACGGGGGUAGAGCACUGAAUAGAAUUCCUUGGAGUUUCUCCAGGUUCUCUAAUCAAACUCCGAAUACCGUGUGUUUUGGAUAGGCAGUUAGACUGCGGGGGCUAAGCUCCGUGGUCAAAAAGGAAACAGCCUAGAUCAUCGUCUAAGGUCCCUAAAUUAGACUAAGUGUUUUUAAGGAAGUAUUUUGCCCUAGACAGGCAGGAAGUUAGCUUAGAGGUAGCUAUCUUUUAAAGAGUGUGUAACAACUCACUGCCCAAAGUCUUUCCUUUGGAAAGGCAGGGGCGAGAUGCGCCAAAGAUUAUCGGGACUAAAGUCUAAUACCGAAGACAUGGAUUACUGCUCCUCACUUUUGUUCGGAGCUCAUCAACGAAUAACGAAUCAAUACGAAUGUACGAAUUAGUAAAUUCGUAACAAAUUCGUAAUUCGAUGAUGAAGCGACGAGCAGUAGCGAGGAGCGGUAGUGGUAGGGAAGCAUUCUGAGGGCACUGAAGCCGAAGUGUAAACGACGGUGGAGCGCUCAGAAGAGAGAAUGUUGGCCUGAGUAACCGCAUUGCAGGUGAAAGCCCUGCACACCGAAAGUCCAAGGUUUCCUUGGCAAUGGUAUUCAACCAAGGGUUAGGCGGUCCUAAGGCAAACCCGAAAGGGGCAGCUGAUGGACAGUCGGUUAAUAUUCCGACCCUCGGAUACAUUUUGAUAGAAAGACGCAUUACAGUAGUUUCAGCGGAUUAUUGGAUUUCACGCUCUUGCACUAAGGUAAAUCAAGGUGCGAGAAAAGCCCCGCCUUUGGCGGGACAAUUGAGAUGAGCGCGAUGCCCAGAAAAAAGCUAUCAAGCUAAUUGUAUUCGAACCGUACCGCAAACCGACACAGGUGGACAAGCGUAAGUAUGCUAAGGUGAACGGGUGAAACCUCGUUAAGGAACUCGGCAAACAAGUGGCCGUAAGUUCGCAAUAUGGCCUUCCCUCCACCGCAAGGUGGUCGGGAUGCAACAAACGUACUUCAAGCGACUGUUUAUCAAAAACACAGCUCCCUGCUAACUCGUAAGAGGAUGUAUAGGGGGUGAGGCCUGACCAGUGUUGGAAUGUUAAGUUUGGGGGUCUGAGCCGUAAGGUUCAGGCUCACUGAAUGAAGCACCAAUGAACGUCGGCGAUAACUAUAAGAUGACGAUUGUAGUUAUAAAACUUCGCUAUAUGCUGGAAACUCUGUAGUAUCUGAUGCUACUAUGUUAUAAUAUAUUAAAGGUGUAUUUACCCCUUUGAUAUUAUGCAAAGUAAAAAAGCAUUCAGUGCAGACAAUCAGCAGGAAAGAAUAGAAAUAUGUGGAUGGAUUACUGGGUUUGUAGAUGGAGAAGGGUCUUUUCUUGUAAAUAUAUUUCAAUCUCCAAGAGCAAAAAAUAAAUGGCAAGUUUUUCCUGAAUUUAAUGUUUCACAAUCAUUAAAAGGAAAAGAUUUGCUUCAUAAAUUAGAAAAAUUUUUUGCUUGCGGACAUAUAUACGCGCACAACGCGAGAAAUAUAAAACAAGGAAAAUGGGACCCUCUCUAUAAAUAUUGCGUCAGAAAUAGAAGCGAAUUGCAAGAAAAAAUUAUUCCUUUUUUCAAAAAUUAUAAAUGUUUUGGCAAAGCCAAAAUAAAUGAUUUUGAAAGAUUUGUUAAAGUUAUUGAAAUGAUGGAUAAGGGAGAACACUUAACAAAAAAGGGAAUGAUAAAAAUUGCAAGAAUCGCAGAAAAAAUGACGCAUCGCAAACCAUUUGAAGAAUCCUCAAUAUACAAAUUUCUAUUAUCCUCAGAGACUAUACGCGAAGCCCGUCAAAAUUAAUUUUUUGAAACGGGAUGAUAUAGUCCGCUCUUUAUGGCGACAUAAAGGCUGUCCCGAGAUUUACCUCUCGAAGGACUAAUAAAAAGAGAGAAAUCGUCCAAAGGUAACAAACGCAAUUGCUUUUGUAAAACUUGGCUAUAUGCUGGAAACUCCGUUGUAUCCGACAUUACCCCGAUUGUAUCGUGGGUGAAAAUAUGUUCGGUGCGGACAAUCAGCAGGGAAGAAUAAAGGAGAAAGCCAUGAAAAAAAGAGAAGUAAGUGAAAGAGUGUAUCAAUUAACGUAUGAGGAACGAUAUAUUGAUUGUAGCGGUGGUAUGAGAUACACGACCUUCCGUGCUUCAAACGAUGCAUCGGCAAAACGAUGCAAGAGUAGAGUUAUGGCUAAACUGAGAAGGGAAAACAAUAGAGCAACAAUCUCUUUUGUUUCCCUUUCAUUGAUUAUUGAAUAAUUAUUCCCCUCAACGACUAUACGCCAAGGCGUAAAUUGACAUUAGGCGGGCAUGCGAAAUGCCUCUACCCGCAUUUUUUUUCAAUGAACGCAAGAUAUAGUCUGAACUGCAUGGCGACAUGCAGAAUGCAGCAGAAAUGACUGCACCGGUGUUAAAAAUGACUUAAUUAACACUAAGUAACAAAAUUGAGCGUAAUCCCUUGCCGGGUAAGUUCCGGCCCGCAUGAAUGGCUUAACGACUUGAAGACUGUCUCAACGAGGCGCCCGGUGAAAAUGCAAUGGCAGUGAAGAUGCUGCCUACCUGCGGCUAGACGGAAAGACCCCGGAAGCUUUACUGUAGUUAGAUAUUGGUUUAUGAUUUUCGAUGCGUAGCGUAGUGGGGAGGAUUUGAAGUCCCGCCUUCGGGCGGGAUGGAUCCGCCAAUGAAACACCCAUCUUUGAAAAUUAUAAUUCUAAUUCCCUUAACUUGGGAUGACAGUGUUUAAUGGGCAGUUUAAGUGGGGCACUUGCCUCCUAAAGAGUAAUGGAGGCGUUUAAAGGUUGGCUAGCUUCGGAUGGAAAUCGAAGCGAUAGGGCAAAGCCAUAAGCCAGCUUUACUGCAAGACGGCUAUGUCGCGCAGUUGCGAAAGCAGAACUUAGUGAACCGACUCAUUUUUAUAGAAAAUGAGAAGAUCAUCAGCCAAAAGCUACUCCGGGGAUAGACUCUGACCUGCCCGCCGAAAGUUAUCGGCGCAGGCGGGAAAAAGAGUUUGUUGUC